CGAUGCGAUCAUACCAGCACUAAAGCACCGGAUCCCAUCAGAACUCCGAAGUUAAGCGUGCUUGGGCGAGAGUAGUACUAGGAUGGGUGACCUCCUGGGAAGUCCUCGUGUUGCAUUCCC
RNAcentral lists this ribosomal RNA (120 nucleotides) under Secale cereale (rye). Lineage: Eukaryota; Viridiplantae; Streptophyta; Magnoliopsida; Poales; Poaceae. The record is from RNAcentral.